GAGGACCUUAGCUUGAGGAAGACACACCACCUCAAGCUCGGACCAUCUCAUCACCUCAGCAUUGAAAGAGAGGAAAUAACAGAUUCUAGUGGAAGCAGUUCUUCUGAACCUGGGGGCACCCAACACCAGGAGGCCAGAACGUCUACAAUGAAGGCUAAAUUAUCAGCCCUCACUUUUACUCGACUUCUUUGAGCCUGACUCAAACCCUGAGACCCCAAACUAAGGACAACCGCAAUGGUGCACUUACACUUACUGCAGGGAAAUGCCGUCUGACUUGGAGAGGAAAUGCUGCAGACAGAGGCCAGAGAACUGGAUCAGCAGAUCGGCAUACAUGGACUUGUAUGUCUUGGAUGAGGGUGUUCUGCAACUGGCCCGUGCUGCAUGGAAUGAUGUCUUUGCAGUUGAUGAAGACCAGGAGCCAGGUGUGGAGCAUCGUCAGUACAGGCGCACAGCUUACAGACAAUAUGUCUUGUGGCAUUAUGCUUGUCUAGGUGAAGAUAACAGAGUGGUGAUCCCCAGCUGUACUGUAUGGAGAAUCAGGGACACAUGGCUUCCUGGGCUCCAGCCCUGAAUGUUCUAGGUUUUUAAAAUAACUUCAACUUUGUGUCAUUUCUCCUCAGUCCCUCUGACUGGACUGGCAGAUCAAUUGAGCAAAAAUUCUAUUACUGAGGAAUUAUCACCAUUGAAGUCCGCUCUAACAUUGUCAAGGGGCAUUGUUGUCUUGUGUUUGUUGUGUUUCAUUCAGUCAUGUCACCUCAGUAAGAACGUUUGCUAGCUAGCUAAUUAGUUUAUGGACUAUGGACAUAAAGUUUUUCAUGAGGAGUCAACCUCAGCCACCAUCCACAGAAAGUGGACAGCAGAUAGAAAAGAGUGUAAAGAGGAAAUGGAAGAAAGAGUACACAUAGGGCAAGAAAGGAGUGGAGAGUGAAGAAAGAAAGAGAUACAGUAAUAUGCUAGUUACUUGAGAUGUUAGAUAUACAGAUUUCUGUAUGGCUCAUAGCUUUUACAUGUGUAUAGUUUGUGAAAUUCAAAGUUUGUCAGUUUCCAAUAAUGGAAGGAUGCAGAGAAGAAAGGAAUUAAAGAGAAAGUGAAGAAAAUAAAUGAAGAGAGGGGAGGACAUACAUGAAGGAGAGACAAGGAAAGGAGAGAAGUGUGAGAACAAGCAAGGAGGGAAAAUUAGUGGGAGAACGAAGAGGAAAGGACAGGAGAAAACCCGUGGAGCAGGAGAAGAAGCAGGACAAGAGGAGGAGAGAUGAUGAGGGGAGUGAGAAAGGAGUGAAAAGCAGUAGAAAAGGAGAGAGGAGAAAAAUGUGUGAUGAGAAGCCAGGAGGAGAGGAGUGGAGAAUUGGUGAGAAGAGGACA
Long non-coding RNA from Thunnus maccoyii (southern bluefin tuna), 1362 nucleotides. RefSeq lists it as uncharacterized. Lineage: Eukaryota; Metazoa; Chordata; Actinopteri; Scombriformes; Scombridae. The record is from RefSeq and is a predicted model, not a curated record. The transcript has 3 exons.